CGAACAAAACAUAAAUGUAUUGUAUAACAUGUUAUAAGACUGUCAUCUGAUGAAGUUGUUUCUUGGUUAGUGACUAAUUAUAUCUCUAUUUGGUCGGUUUUGUGAUAGCUACCGAUGCGGUAGAAACAUGGUGAAAAUAUGCGGUUGAGUCUUUGGUUAUUGUGGUUAGCUAAUAGAAAUACAUAUUGUGUUUUCGCUGUAAAACAUUUAAAAAAUCGGAAAUGAUGGCUGGAUUCACAAGAUGUUUAUCUUUCAUUUACUGUAUUGGACUUGUGAUUUCAUGAAAAUUAUAUUAUAUGAUAUCCCUGUCCCGUUAGGCUAGGCUAUGCUAGUCAGCUUUUUUGAUGAGGAGGAUUCCGGAUCUGGGAGAGAGAAGUGGUAGAGGGGUAUUAACUUUGUUUGGUAUACAGUAUUUGUAAGGCCUUAACCAUGCAUUUUUCCAGACAAUGUUCAUAUUGCUGUUCCUCUAUCAUUCCUUUCCCUCUUCCACGUGUCAUCAUUCUGCUCCGGAGUGGCUCGCUUUGUGGGCGUGCUGGCAGGAUAGGGCAGCGUCUUCAGUUGCGCAUCAAGAAUUCUGCAUACAGUAGCACGUUUGUAUGAAGAAAAGGAAGUCAAAGCGGACACCUACGAAGAUGGCAUCUCAGAGAGCGAGCAGAUUUACAGCCAUUUUCACUGGACUAUCUGUUGCUAAGUCAUGGGUUAGCCUUGCAAUAACCAAGUGGUGAGAAACACAGCCCUCUAUAUUUAAAUGUUUCAGGUACACUUUGAAAGGGGAUACUGUAUGUGACGCAGACACCUAUUGGCAUUAUCUUCUAUUGUUUGUCCUCAUGGGUCUGUUUUUCAGCUUAAAGUACUCUGUAGCCACUCACGUCAUCCCUCUCCCCCUAAAUCUUCUCGGUUAUAUCAGCUGUUUUGUUGAACCUCUCCCGCAUCUGAACUGGCUGACAGAGGGCACAGCCUGAUCAUAGGUAUGUUUUGAUGUGAGAGGAAUCCAGUCCCGACAGCGCAAUUGUGAUGAACUGAGAGAAUAUUAGGGUAGCACUGUCAUUCAUGAAUCAUAUGCUAUCUGCCGCUGUUCUUACCUCUCUCCCCACCUCAUCUUCUAAUGCACACCAUAUGUGCAUUGAAGUACAGAUUUGCCUACUUUUUUUUUUUUUUUAACUAGGCAAGUCAGAUAAGAAUGACGGCCUAAGAACUGCCUUGUUCAGGGGCAGAAGGACAGACCUUGUCGGCUCGGGGAUUCGAUCUUGCAACCUUCCGGUUACUAGUCCACCUACCCGCCCAAGAUUGAACUUGUAUUUAUAAUAUUACAAUUAAAAUGCACUUCUUUCAAUAAAGCGUUUCACAUUCUCCACUGGUUGAAAUACUAUCCUGUGUCCGUCCUCAGAUUAAUGGAGUUAAAUGUGCAUAGGUUUUUCUCUCUCUGUAU
Molecule: long non-coding RNA, 1429 nt
Organism: Salvelinus fontinalis (brook trout)
Lineage: Eukaryota; Metazoa; Chordata; Actinopteri; Salmoniformes; Salmonidae
Exons: 4
Source: RefSeq, a predicted model, not a curated record